Molecule: ribosomal RNA, 249 nt
Filed under: uncultured Acidimicrobiales bacterium
Lineage: Bacteria; Bacillati; Actinomycetota; Acidimicrobiia; Acidimicrobiales
Description: partial 16S ribosomal RNA
Rfam family: Bacterial small subunit ribosomal RNA
Source: RNAcentral
UGGGGAAUAUUGCACAAUGGGCGCAAGCCUGAUGCAGCGACGCCGCGUGCGGGAUGACGGCCUUAGGGUUGUAAACCGCUUUCAGCAGGGACGAAAUUGACGGUACCUGCAGAAGAAGCCCCGGCCAACUACGUGCCAGCAGCCGCGGUAAUACGUAGGGGGCAAGCGUUGUCCGGAUUUAUUGGGCGUAAAGAGCUCGUAGGCGGGCUGGUAAGUCGGAUGUGAAAUCUCCACGCUUAACGUGGAGGG